AUCUUUGCGCAGUGGCGGUACCAUAGCCAAUGAGGUUUUACCGAGGCGUGGUUAUUGCUGGUUGAAAACUACUCCCAAUACCCCGCACGGUCGACUCACAUGUCGGCUUGUGCAAUUUUUUCUGCUCUUAAGAGAG
Aplysia californica (California sea hare) is the source of this 136-nucleotide small nuclear RNA. RefSeq annotates it as U4 spliceosomal RNA. The transcript has a single exon. NCBI's taxonomy places the organism in Eukaryota, Metazoa, Mollusca, Gastropoda, Aplysiida, Aplysiidae. The record is from RefSeq and is a predicted model, not a curated record.